AUUGAACGCUGGCGGCAGGCCUAACACAUGCGAGUCGAACGGGAACAGGAAGCAGCUUGCUGCUUUGCUGACGAGUGGCGGACGGGUGAGUAAUGUCUGGGAAACUGCCCGAUGGAGGGGGAUAACUACUGGAAACGGUAGCUAAUACCGCAUAACGUCGCAAGACCAAAGAGGGGGACCUUAGGGCCUCUUGCCAUCGGAGGUGCCCAGAUGGGAUUAGCUAGUAGGUGGGGUAACGGCUCACCUAGGCGACGAUCCCUAGCUGGUCUGAGAGGAUGACCAGCCACACUGGAACUGAGACACGGUCCAGACUCCUACGGGAGGCAGCAGUGGGGAAUAUUGCACAAUGGGCGCAAGCCUGAUGCAGCCAUGCCGCGUGUAUGAAGAAGGCCUUCGGGUUGUAAAGUACUUUCAGCGGGGAGGAAGGGAGUAAAGUUAAUACCUUUGCUCAUUGACGUUACCCGCAGAAGAAGCACCGGCUAACUCCGUG
This 490-nucleotide ribosomal RNA is filed under the name uncultured bacterium. RNAcentral's name for it is "partial 16S ribosomal RNA". It matches the Rfam family "Bacterial small subunit ribosomal RNA", at positions 30 to 507 of the family's 1533-position model. The record is from RNAcentral.